This 498-nucleotide ribosomal RNA is filed under the name uncultured bacterium. Its description in RNAcentral is "partial 16S ribosomal RNA". It matches the Rfam family "Bacterial small subunit ribosomal RNA", at positions 28 to 507 of the family's 1533-position model. The record is from RNAcentral.
GAUGAACGCUGGCGGCGUGCCUAAUAUAUGCAAGUCGAGCGAACUUUUGGGAGCUUGCUCCCAAGAGUUAGCGGCGGACGGGUGAGUAACACGUGGGUAACCUGCCUUUAACACUGGGAUAACUUCGGGAAACCGGAGCUAAUACCGGAUAACAUUUACGACCACAUGGUCUUCAACUAAAAGGUGGCUUUUAGCUACCACUUACAGAUGCACCCGCGGCGCAUUAGCUAGUUGGUGAGGUAACGGCUCACCAAGGCGACGAUGCGUAGCCGACCUGAGAGGGUGAUUGGCCACACUGGGAGUGAGACACGGCACAGAGUGCUUCAGGAAGCAGCAGGAGGGAAUCGUCCGGAAUGGGCGGAAGACUGACGGAGCAACGCCGCGUGAGGGAAGAAGGACUUCGGGUGGUAAAGCUCUGUUGUUAGGGAAGGAACAGUAUUGUUCGAAUAGGGAGGUACCUUGACGGUACCUAACCAGAAAGCCACGGCUAACUACGUG